RNAcentral lists this ribosomal RNA (253 nucleotides) under uncultured bacterium. RNAcentral describes it as "partial 16S ribosomal RNA". It matches the Rfam family "Bacterial small subunit ribosomal RNA", at positions 524 to 776 of the family's 1533-position model. The record is from RNAcentral.
UACGUAGGGGGCAAGCGUUGUCCGGAAUUAUUGGGCGUAAAGAGCGCGUAGGCGGUCCGAUAAGUCGGCUGUGAAAGUCAGGGGCUCAACCCUUGGAAGCCGGCCGAUACUGUCGGACUAGAGUCCGGAAGAGGCGAGUGGAAUUCCUGGUGGAGCGGUGAAAUGCGCAGAUAUCAGGAGGAACACCGAUGGCGAAGGCAGCUCGCUGGGACGGUACUGACGCUGAGGCGCGAAAGCGUGGGGAGCAAACAGG